UUGGCGUGAGGUUGCCAUAGCGACAGGAAGAGCCAGCUUGGCUUUUCCAAACCUUGCUCCAGUUCCAUCACCACCUUCGGUGGCUGCAGGCCUGGGCCCCGCUGCUGGCCCACGGGGCUUUCGUCCCAUCGCUGCUCGCCAGCAGCAGGGAGAGUGGGGCAAGCGGCCAGCAGGCUGGCCAUGCUCCAUGGCAGAGGGGUCAUGCCCCCCAGUCAGGACAAGGGAGGGAGCUGCUACUUCCCUGCCUGCCUCAGCAAUGGGACGCCCCACCCCAUGCACCCGCUGCCCUGCUCUCCCUUGCUAUAGGAACUCUCAGCAGGCAGGCCCCAGGGGCGUAGGCUGGGGCAUCAGUGGGGUUCCCCUGCUCAAGGGGCCCACAACGGGAUGGGACCUGGCUGCUCACAAUGAAGGAUCAGUCGAGUGGCCAGCACCUUUAGAGAGGGGCUCACGGCCACAGCCCUGCUCUAAGCCCUCAGCCUGAUCCCACGCACGGGCGGGAGAAGGCACAGAAGUGUCCCUGCUGGGAGUAGCAGUUGAGAUCUACGUUCGCUGCACCAGCCCCCUACCCAUCAUUCAGUCCCAGCACACCCCAGUGCUUGGGACAGGUCCAAUUUCCAAUCGCUCCUGUGCUAAGCCUCCUACAGGAAAGGGUGGGAGUCCAUUCUACGCUGCCCCCACCAAGCCAGGAACGUGGGGUUUGUGGCCGCAGGAGUCACCCUCUCCCUCCGUACCGCCCAGGGAGGCAGCUACGUUCCAGCCUCAGGUGCCCAGAUGAUGUUUGCAGUUGCAGGCGCUGUGGGGUUUUGAGACUUACCGCUGUGAGGAGGUGACUGAGUAGGCGGCUAGUAACGAGCAGAGCCCAGCAGCACCAGCACAGGCCCAGGACAUAAGAGCCAGAACCCGUUGGUGAACUUCCUGGCCUCUUGCACCUGACUCAUCGCUCCAUCUCCGCAGCCACUGAGUGGGGAGCUCUUGGGACCCCCCAGCCCCUGAGGGACAGACCACCAGGGGAAAGGAGCUUCUAUAGAGGGAGGGGGCCCAAGGAAUAAUAUCACUAUGCAAAGGGGGGUUGGGGGAAGGAGUGUGAUGGAACAGCAACAAGCUUCCCCAGCAGCACCAUCCGCUCUCUGCUAAGGUGCCUGCCGACAAACACCCCCCAAGGACAGCCAAGGUCUCCUGCUGUUGGCUGGACCAGAAUCCUGGAGCAUCUCAGCACAAAGCCCCAGGGGCUCUGCCCCCAGCCACACACAGGGCCUCGAACUCCCGCCGCUGCUCCUCCUGCUCCUGCUUGUGCCGGCGCUGCUGAUAGGCCUGGCAGAGGGCAUACAGGAUCACCGCCACGCCUGUCAAGCCGCACAGCACCGCCGCCCCCUUCCAGAAGCUGCUCACUGACUCCAUCUCCGCCAGCAGCGUCUGCCAGUCCCCCAGUUACUAGAAUGGAGAUGCCAAACACACCAGGAGACGGCAUGCUGCUGCUGUGAGAGUCGCUGAGAGAUGGGCCCUAGUGCACCAAGCUGGAUAAGUGUGCAAGGAUCUUACCUUCUAAGGCAACAUAAUGCAGGCACUGGCCACUGGUGGCAGACAGCAGGUCAGGCAGACCAUCAUCUACCUGAAGCUUCGGGGCCUCCUGCAGAAAGAGAAGCCAGAAAUGACAGGAGACCCGGCCCACGGGGACUAUCAUGCCCAGCAGGCCGUACGCACUUCGGAAACUACAGGUCCCAGCAUGCAGUGGCCAGCCAGGCCAGCUCAACUCAAAACCAAGUUCUGUAGGGGUACAGGUGUGUGCCAAGGCAGACAAAGGCCACCGAGGUGUGCAAGUGACAGCGACGCAGAGCACCCGGGGGCAUUGCCGGCACGGGGGUGCAAACAGGACGGCCAGAGCCAGGGCUGCGCUGGCUGCUGUCCCUGGAGGUGGAGCGCUGCAGGCUGGGAUCUGUAGGCCCCGUGGCUGAGCCCUGCGAGGCAGGGAGCAGGUCCCCCCUCCCCCUUGCCCUGUUUGGGCACCUGGACACCUGUUAAGGGGGCCCUGGGCUGGGCAGCGUUUGGGGCGCGGGCCGGGGGCCCCAGUACCUGGAUCCGAGCCAGCGCCUUGGCCUUCUUCCUGUACAGGUAAUAGAAGAGGCCGGAGAAGGCCAGGCUGGAGGCCAGGCCCAGCAGCUCCCCGGAGGUGACGGGCAGGGCGUCCAUGGUGCCGGGCAGGGGCGCCGCGACUGCAAGGAGAGCACACGGGGGGCUGCCCGUUAGCCCGGGGCUCCCACGUGGGGCUGGGCUCGGGGGGCGCCCCGGGGGCCCCUUACUGGGAGACUCACCCGGGCCUGGGAGGAACCGCCCCGCUUCCGGCGCCCAUUAGGGCUCCAAGGGCCCAAGAGGCCAGGACCGUCAGGGAGCCACAGCCCCGCCGCGCUGCCCCCUGGGAGAUGGAGUCCGGCCGCGCUCGGCUCCUGGGGGCCGCCGCCGCGGUGCCGAGAGCUCGUGGAACUACAGCUCCCAGUGUGCACCGCGCCGCGCCCUAGGGGUGCUCGGAACUACUACUCCCGUCGAGCCUUGCGCCGCGCAGACCUUUAAAGGGGCGUUGGAGAGGGGGAGACACGUCGGGCUAAGGGCAUGCGGCGCCACUCCAGGGACUACGGCUCCCGUGAGGCACUGCGGCGAACGCGCUGGCCACGGCCCUAGAGUGGGGGGAGGGGCACGCGGGGCGUCGGUCCUCGCUACGGGGCCUGCAGCAGCCCCGUUCUUAAUACAGGAACACGAGGGGCUGGUCCUGGCCCCAAGGGGCAGGGGCGGUUCAGACUUGCACGCUUUUCAUCUCCCUGACAUGCAAACUUCUCCUCUGCUGCACGCUAAUCCCCCCUUGCACUCACAUGUUGGGUUGUUAUUGUAGGGUCGCUCCCCAGGCGGGUUUGUUGUGGUAAGUUGGCUGAGAAGUACUGGUACUGAUACUGUAUUAGUGUUAUCGCAAGGGAUGCUAAGAGCUGUGCAGCUUAUACUGGCUGGUUACUGUUGGGUUGUCCCUGGCUGCCUGUGUAGUGGUGUGUUAUUGUAGGGUUGCUCAGGGAACCUGGACAUAUUGGUUUGUCAGAAGGGCAGCUUAUGUGCCCUGGUCUUGAGUUGCUUAUACAGAUGACAGGAUGUCUUUAUUCUAAUGCCCACUAGAGAACUGGUGGGGAAGUCUGAGAGGAGGAAUGCUGUUUAUUAGAGCAGUGCCCGGCUGGCAUCGAAUGGCAGCACAGUCAGGGCUCUUCCUGAGUGGGCCCCGAGCAGACCUUCUAUCACUGUUACCUUGUGGUAGCACCAAAAGGUGCCAGCAUGAACACACAGCCAAAGCAUCUACAGUCUAAAAUGAGCAACAUGGGAAUGGGGAGAGAGACGGUUGGAGAUCCUGUAUUUAAACAGACAUAGCUGCAUUAGCUCAACAUAGAUACAUUUGCUUCCUAAUUACAUAAAUUAGGCCAGUGUUUGGGUGCACAGGCUGAUGCACCUGAGGCCCAGAUUCUACAGUGGAGCCAGUGCGAAUGUGGAUGCUCACCAUCUUUGAAAUUCAGGCCCAGGAGAUGUCACGCUGCAGCAUAAACCAGCCAAGUUGUUAAAAAAAAUCAAGAGUCGGGACCCCCAAAAUCAUGAGAUUUUAAUAAAUAUAUAAAUGGAGGUGGGGGGUGUUGGAGCCUUUUGGGGACACAAUUUCCAGUUUUUCUCUGCAACCAGGAAGGGCUAGUAAUUAUCUUUGAAAUUCAAAUUGAAAUCCUAACAUCAUCCCAUGACUCCAGGAGCUGGGGUUUUAAGAAAAUCACCAAAUGUUGCAAAUCUUGUAUAAUUGCAAGAGAUGGGAACUUGGUUUCGCAGCCAAAGAUCAGAGAUGAAGGUGUCUGUUGAAAGGGGGCCAGGGCAGGCUCUAGGCCUGGGUAGGCAGCGCAUCACACCUUCGCAUGAUAUUGUAUUUUGGCCAAGGAGAAACCAAGUUGGUGGCCAACAUGGCAAAUCUAGGGAUUGUAUGUGAAGGAACCGAACUGCUGUCUGGAGACUGGCAUUUCUCAGCAGGCUUUGGUGUGUCAUAGAAUCUCAGGGUUGGAAGGGACCUCAGGAGGUCAUCUAGUCCCACCCCCAAGUCCACCCUAUGUGGGUGAAACCUGCCCAUGACCUCCUGCCCUUGAGCAAGUGACUCAUGGCUGGGAGCAGCAGGGGAAUAACAGAAGCCCAGGGCUUGUCUCCACUGCAGAGUGAACUCAGGCUCUUCCUCAGGUGUUGCUCCAACCUCACUCCUGUCCACACACACAACCCUCUCACCUAGCUGGCCUAUUCUGGGGUAUUGGCUGAAGCCCAGCAUGGGUGCAGGCUACCCCACUGGAGUGCUGAUAGUCCCCCAGUGCCUUCCCACAGUUCUCCCAGUCUCCCCAGGACAGACAAGUUCUCCCCCAAUUACCUGGGAAGGAAUCACGGAGCCGCUCAGCUCGCUGCAGGGCUCAGAGCCAUGGGAUGUGCCCCCAGCAGUCCUAGCAACACAUGGAGGAGUGCAGCAGGACCGGUAGUUUGGGUAGGGCUUUGCAGUGGGGAGGUGUGAUGGGGUCUGCUUACCCCGCACUAUCCCAGACAGGGUUAAGCCCAUGGUAUUGACAGCGGAAAGUCCCGCCUCCCUGGCAAGACUGGGCAUGCUCCAAGUGCUCUAGUAGUAUAAAGGGAGGGAGACCAGCUCAUUCUGGGCUGGAGGCCACAGGGGAAGGAUCUGCCUGGGAAGCUCCUGCAAUGGACCAGCCACAGCCUCUGACUGCACUGGGAAUUGAAGCUGUUCAUGACCCACCUGCACCCUGGUGACUGGAGGAAACCCUGGAGAUGACUAGCCCUGCUGAACAUAGAGAACCCGACAUCUCAUGGGAAACCCCAACACAGACUCUGGUGGCUUUCACGAACAAGGAGCCCAGGGCGAAGCCCAGCGUGUCGUCGGUGUUGGAGAUGCAGGUUUGCCAGCGAGGGGUGCAGGACUCCAGAGAGAGAGCGAGACAGACAGGGCCACAGUGGGACCCGCCCAGCAAAUGGGAGCCUCCCGCUACCAAUCCCCUGUCACCGGCCAGCGGAUAGAGCCCAGCCCCUGCACACAGCAGCACCAUGCUGGUUCCUUCCCCGCCCCGGCCCUUCACCCACCUCCAGCAGCACCAUGCUUGUCCUCUCCCCGAGCAGCACCGGGCUGGCCCCUUCCCCAGGACCCACCUGCAGCUCUGCGAUGCUCAUCUUGUGAUAGAUCUUCUCGUCAUCCCGCCUCUCGUCCUGGGGGACGGUGAUAUUGGCCAGCAGGGUCUCAAACUCCAGCACCUGCUCCAUCUGCUCCUGGGUGGAGACCUUCUCUCCACCCAGCAGCAUCCCCAGCUCCACCAUAUAGUCCAGGUAGUAAUCCCGGGAGGGGAGGAAAAGGCCUGACUGAUCCACCUGGAGACGGAGAACAAAUGAACCUGGAUUGCAUAGCCGCAGCCACUGCUCCGUAGCACAAAGCCCCCUGCCCUGCCUCCACAUCCAGUCACCGCUAUUCCCGGGAACCAGUGGGGGUGGAGGAACUGGAGCAACCCUAGCCCUCAGCAGUAGACCAGGGCCAUCAAAUCUGACCUGUGGGGAAUCCCCAAGCGGCAUUCACCUCCCCAGAAGCAAGAGGCUGAGGCACCUUCCUGGGGUCUGUAUGUGAUGUGCCCCCAAAACAGUUACUGUCCCCACUGAACCCCUCUCAGUGUGUCCCCAGGUGGGAGGGGGCAGGCAGAGGGCUGGGCGUCUGAACGGGGCCACUUAAGCCCAGAGUCAGAAAUACCCAGCCAUGAUAGUCCUGUGCUCCCUCUGACCCCCUGUGCUCCUUCUGUCCUUGGCUAGGUUUCUUUAUGGGUCCUUCUCCCCCACGGCUGGCUGGCUCCUCCACCCCCAGUUUGUGGUGACGGUGUUUCCGAGCGAGGGGCAAUGGGAGAGGUUUUCUUUGGGCCCAUUGCGCGCUGGGAGCUCGGUGUGAGGUUCUGGCACAGUGCCCCCUCCCAAGUCCUCACAGGGGCAGGGUCGCUGGGCUACCUGAAUGACGUUGCUGUUGGAACUCUUGGAGUCGGCGCCCAC
Long non-coding RNA from Mauremys reevesii (Reeves's turtle), 6075 nucleotides. RefSeq lists it as uncharacterized. The transcript is spliced from 9 exons. NCBI's taxonomy places the organism in Eukaryota, Metazoa, Chordata, Testudines, Geoemydidae. The record is from RefSeq and is a predicted model, not a curated record.